UCUGGUGGUUAGAGCGAAGUGGCACCACCCGUUCUCAUCUCGAACACGGAAGUGAAACGCUUCAGCGCAGA
RNAcentral lists this ribosomal RNA (71 nucleotides) under Dehalococcoidia bacterium. Lineage: Bacteria; Bacillati; Chloroflexota; Dehalococcoidia. The record is from RNAcentral.